This is a long non-coding RNA of Acinonyx jubatus (cheetah), 2964 nucleotides long. RefSeq lists it as uncharacterized. The record is from RefSeq and is a predicted model, not a curated record. NCBI's taxonomy places the organism in Eukaryota, Metazoa, Chordata, Mammalia, Carnivora, Felidae. The transcript is spliced from 3 exons.
UUAUGAAAUUUCUUUUAUGUACCCAAUGUUGAUCAUUAGACUAUAAAUAAGGCUUUGUCCAUAUUAAUGGCAAAUGCUGACGGUCGCUACUCUCCACUUUUCCUGUUGACAGAUUUUCUUGAAAUCACCAUUGCUCCUUCACAUUACACUGGGGAAGAUAACCCUAUCCCAGAUUCCGGGAAUAUAGGAGUACCCUCCAGGAAUAUAGGAUCUGUUCCAACCCCUAGUGGAUGCCUGAAACUGUGGAUAAUAUCAAACCCUACAUAUACUGUGUUUUUUCCUAUAUGUGCAUACCUAUGAUAAAGUUUAUCAAGUAGACAAAGGGAUUAACACCAAUAACAAUGAAAUGGAAAAAUUGUGACAAUAGAAUGUACUACAAGUUAUAUGAAUGUGGUCUCUCUCUCUCAAGAUAUCUCCUUGUACUGUACUCACUUUUCUUCUUGUGAUGAUGUGAGAUGAUCAAAUGCCUACCUGAUGAGAUGAAGUGAGGUGAACGACCGAGCCCUGUGACCUAGUGUUAGGCUACUAUUAACCUAUAUGUCAGAAGGAGGAUCAUCUGCUUCCAGACCAGGGUUGACCACAGGUAACCAAAACCACGGAAAGUGAAACCACAGACUGUGGGCUCCAUGGAAACCACAGGGAACAGAGGCAGAUGUACCAGCAGGCAAAUGAAGUUUCAGCAUUAGGACUCCGGGAGUUGCGUCAGCAAUUGGAGUUACAUCUUCCUUGGCAGUUUCCAAUCUCAACUAGCAAAGAAUAAGGCUCUCGGCUCUGCAGGCCGAGAAAGUAACCUUGGCAUAAUGAAUGACCUGUAGCUUCAGAACGCCUCUGGAAUGCCAAAUGACCACGGCUCCAUGCCUCUGGAAUGUGGAAUGGCCCCUGCAUUAGCCAGGUGACCCACAGCUGCACACCACUGGAAUGAAAACUAGAUUCUGGCUCCUAGAAUACCAAAUGUCCGCUCAAGGAAAAAGCAACGGAUAAGCCUUCCUGCUGAGGAGGAAGAAAUGGUAGUGACUGCCAUUGCUGCGAUGAGAUAACUAUCUCUUAAUACUAAUAACACCUUAUUCUGAGUCACACAACUUCUGUGAACCACCUGCUGAAAACUGUCUGACCCUCCCCAAAUCGGAGAAACAGAUCUCUUCCCAUGGGUAGAAAUGUGUUCCCCCUACUUUGUGUUUCCUAUCAUUGCCUGAAAGAAGAAACAGAAAUCUUGUUUCCAAAAUUCAUUUUCCCAGUGCAUUAAUUUGGACUUACAAAGCUUUGUAAUCCAUUUAGACAGCAUCGGCAUCUACAAAGUCCUGUUUCAGAGAAUGUAGUUCCCCAGUGAGGGCGCCUGAACCCUUACUGGAAGUCGCCUGCAAAGGAGACAAGGUGUAAGGAUAUUUGCAUCAAUCAUGUUCACUAACUGGGAUUUUAAUGAUUCUCUCUUCCCCUUUCUUCUUCAUCAUCUUUUUUUUCUUCCCAGUGCCAUUCCUCAGUGAAUAUUUCUUUUUCUUUUCUUUUUUUUUUUUUUUCCUUUCUCUUUUCUCUUGCAUUUCAAUGCACUGGCUUUAAAAGGAGGAUUUGCAAACUGAGUAUUAAAACUCCAGGGUACUACAUCUCCAAAAUCUAUAAGACGAUAAGAAGAUAAGAGGCCAAACCCACUGAAAGCUUCCCUCCCGGUGCCUGUGGAACUUGCAGGCUGGUCUAUAAUACCCCUAAGCGAAAGCAAUCUGCCCACCUCCUCCCCACCCAACCCUCCCUGCCUAAUGCAGGCGGAUAAACUUAGCAUUAAAAUUCCCACACUUUGGCAAAUGAGUACCCAGGAGGCUGCUGACUCAAUCAGAGCUUGUUUUACUUACAGUGUAGUACUGAGAAAAGGCCAUAAACUCCAGCCUGACAGAUCUGCGAUGCUCAUUUCAAUAUGCUUUCCCUGUGUGCGGGCUUGCUGAUGAACUUUCAUAUUCCGCCAACAAAAUAUAACAAACAUAUUAACGACGUGUGGUAAAUUGCCACUGGAUAUAGUGGGUCCUGAUGACGGAAAUGGUUGUGAGUAAAUGAGAUUGUCUGGCUGCCUAAUACCACUUUGGGGUCCAAAAUGAUGCACUGCCUUGGAGGGAGGCGGGCAGAGGAAGAGGGGGCAAGCCAGCUAACAAGGGACACAGGUGCCCUUGCCCAGGGCAAAUGGGGCAUUGGAAACCCAAGACAACAUUGUGUCAGAGCUAUAGAGAGUGUCUGCUUAAACUCAUUAAUCUGAUGUAUAUUAAAAUCAAGACCCAGAGAGAUGUAAAAAGCCCAAAGCCACAGAGCAAGUAUGUGACUCCUGAAUCACAGCCCAGUGCUCUCCUGGUUGGUGGAUUUGAUUUAUACCAGAAGCUGUCUGUAAGAGAGUAGUUGGACAGAAAGAAUAUAAAGAAUGUUCCUGUGGCUCAAGUCAGUCCCGCAUUCAUCAGUACCAAAAUGCACUGCAGGGCUUGUCUUUCUCUUUAUCUGUAGUGCUUGACCUUUCUUUUGGGUGCAUUAAGGGACACCAAAGGGUGAUUUGGACUGAGUGUGCAGUCGUUUUCCUCUACUGCAACCCAAAAGGACAAGUAUAAUUCCCUUUCAAUUGUCAUAGAUUCCUAAUGACCCAUUACAAUUCUGACUCCAAUUCUAAUGUGUGUGUGUUUUUCCCCCAAAACCACCAAGCCACUUUCUGAUGGCUGCUGGGUGUUACAGCCCAACUUGAUUCUGACACUGUUUUCCUGGAGACAGCAUCAGGGUCCCCAGGUUAAGGUCUCAGUCCCACGAAAUUUUUCUCUGCUUCAGAUACUAGUCCCAAGUCUGGGCUGUUACCUGUACUUCUGACUGGUCACUUAUUUCAGGUAAAUUUAAGGUUUCAAGUUACCAAAAAGAUUUUAAAAAUGGUUUUUAAGUAGACAUACCUUAAGGCAUAAUUGUUUAAAAGUUCACUUAUAAACUUAUAUCUUACUUACAUCUAUUUGA